This 1704-nucleotide ribosomal RNA is filed under the name Klebsiella pneumoniae MGH 73. RNAcentral describes it as "bacterial LSU rRNA". It matches the Rfam family "Bacterial large subunit ribosomal RNA", at positions 1243 to 2925 of the family's 2925-position model. Lineage: Bacteria; Pseudomonadati; Pseudomonadota; Gammaproteobacteria; Enterobacterales; Enterobacteriaceae. The record is from RNAcentral.
GUAAGCCUGCGAAGGUGACCUGUGAGGGUUGCUGGAGGUAUCAGAAGUGCGAAUGCUGACAUAAGUAACGAUAAAGCGGGUGAAAAGCCCGCUCGCCGGAAGACCAAGGGUUCCUGUCCAACGUUAAUCGGGGCAGGGUGAGUCGACCCCUAAGGCGAGGCCGAAAGGCGUAGUCGAUGGGAAACAGGUUAAUAUUCCUGUACUUGGUGUUACUGCGAAGGGGGGACGGAGAAGGCUAUGUUAGCCGGGCGACGGUUGUCCCGGUUUAAGCAUGUAGGCUGGUUAUCCAGGCAAAUCCGGAUAAUCAAGGCUGAGGUGUGAUGACGAGGCACUACGGUGCUGAAGUAACAAAUGCCCUGCUUCCAGGAAAAGCCUCUAAGCAUCAGGUAACAUCAAAUCGUACCCCAAACCGACACAGGUGGUCAGGUAGAGAAUACCAAGGCGCUUGAGAGAACUCGGGUGAAGGAACUAGGCAAAAUGGUGCCGUAACUUCGGGAGAAGGCACGCUGGUGUGUAGGUGAAGCCCCUGCGGGUGGAGCUGAGACCAGUCGAAGAUACCAGCUGGCUGCAACUGUUUAUUAAAAACACAGCACUGUGCAAACACGAAAGUGGACGUAUACGGUGUGACGCCUGCCCGGUGCCGGAAGGUUAAUUGAUGGGGUUAUCCGUAAGGAGAAGCUCUUGAUCGAAGCCCCGGUAAACGGCGGCCGUAACUAUAACGGUCCUAAGGUAGCGAAAUUCCUUGUCGGGUAAGUUCCGACCUGCACGAAUGGCGUAAUGAUGGCCAGGCUGUCUCCACCCGAGACUCAGUGAAAUUGAACUCGCUGUGAAGAUGCAGUGUACCCGCGGCAAGACGGAAAGACCCCGUGAACCUUUACUAUAGCUUGACACUGAACAUUGAGCCUUGAUGUGUAGGAUAGGUGGGAGGCUUUGAAGCGUGGACGCCAGUCUGCGUGGAGCCAACCUUGAAAUACCACCCUUUAAUGUUUGAUGUUCUAACGUUGGCCCCUUACCGGGGUUGCGGACAGUGUCUGGUGGGUAGUUUGACUGGGGCGGUCUCCUCCCAAAGCGUAACGGAGGAGCACGAAGGUUAGCUAAUCCUGGUCGGACAUCAGGAGGUUAGUGCAAUGGCAUAAGCUAGCUUGACUGCGAGCGUGACGGCGCGAGCAGGUGCGAAAGCAGGUCAUAGUGAUCCGGUGGUUCUGAAUGGAAGGGCCAUCGCUCAACGGAUAAAAGGUACUCCGGGGAUAACAGGCUGAUACCGCCCAAGAGUUCAUAUCGACGGCGGUGUUUGGCACCUCGAUGUCGGCUCAUCACAUCCUGGGGCUGAAGUAGGUCCCAAGGGUAUGGCUGUUCGCCAUUUAAAGUGGUACGCGAGCUGGGUUUAGAACGUCGUGAGACAGUUCGGUCCCUAUCUGCCGUGGGCGCUGGAGAAUUGAGGGGGGCUGCUCCUAGUACGAGAGGACCGGAGUGGACGCAUCACUGGUGUUCGGGUUGUCAUGCCAAUGGCACUGCCCGGUAGCUAAAUGCGGAAGAGAUAAGUGCUGAAAGCAUCUAAGCACGAAACUUGCCCCGAGAUGAGUUCUCCCUGAGACUUUAAGUCUCCUGAAGGAACGUUGAAGACGACGACGUUGAUAGGCCGGGUGUGUAAGCGCAGCGAUGCGUUGAGCUAACCGGUACUAAUGAACCGUGAGGCUUAACCUU